CCGGUUAGGGCCUUGUGGGGUGUAAAACGUGUAGCUAGCCAUUAUUGAUGUUUAAUAUUUGUGACUGUCGAGUGGUCUUUCGAAAAUAUAAAAACAUUUUUUUAUGGUUUAAGGGGGAUAAUUAAACACUUGGCGGUGGUGCCGGGGCAGAUCCUGGGGUCACUGAUGCCUGGUUGCAAGAAUAUUUUUGGUGCCCACUUCCUUGUGGGUGUGGCUAUAUUGCUAGCUCCUCCCCUUUACAAACAUAACACUUCUAACCACACCCAUUUUCUAUGGAAAUCACUCCACCUCCAACCCAGGUCACAUGUCACUCACUUCCUAUAGUGCCAACUUUGCCCCCAAAUAGCUAAAUUGUGCCCAGCUUCCCAGUGCCAACUUUGUCCCAAUAUAGCCAAUCAGUGCCAUCUCUCUGUGCCAAUAUAGCUAAUCAGUGCCAUUUCUGUGUCCCAAUAUAGCUAAUCAGUGCCAUCUCUCUGUCCCAAUAUAGCUAAUCGGUGCCAUUUCUGUGUCCCAAUAUAGCUAAUCAGUGCCAUCUCUCUGUCCCAAUAUAGCUAAUCAGUGCCAUCUCUCUCUCCCAAUAUAGCUAAUCGGUGCCAUUUCUGUGUCCCAAUAUAGCUAAUCAGUGCCAUCUCUCUCUCCCAAUAUAGCUAAUCAGUGCCAUCUCUCUCUCCCAAUAUAGCUAAUCGGUGCCAUCUCUGUGUCCCAAUAUAGCUAAUCAGUGCCAUCUCUCUGUCCCAAUAUAGCUAAUCAGUGCCAUCUCUCUCUCCCAAUAUAGCUAAUCAGUGCCAUCUCUCUCUCCCAAUAUAGCUAAUCGGUGCCAUCUCUGUGUCCCAAUAAAGCUAAUCAGUGCCAUCUCUCUCUCCCAAUAUAGCUAAUCGGUGCCAUCUCUGUGUCCCAAUAUAGCU
Non-coding RNA from Pelobates cultripes (western spadefoot toad), 905 nucleotides. Lineage: Eukaryota; Metazoa; Chordata; Amphibia; Anura; Pelobatidae. The record is from the annotation of a GenBank genome assembly.